RNAcentral lists this ribosomal RNA (1473 nucleotides) under Stenostomum bryophilum. Its description in RNAcentral is "eukaryotic LSU rRNA". It matches the Rfam family "Eukaryotic large subunit ribosomal RNA", at positions 43 to 1290 of the family's 3401-position model. Lineage: Eukaryota; Metazoa; Platyhelminthes; Stenostomidae. The record is from RNAcentral.
UUGGUACACGGAUUAAAUGGAGGAUCUGGUAGUAACUGCGAGUGAAGUGGGAGAAGCCCAGCACCAAGGUUCUCGGCCGUAUGGUCGAUGAACGAUGCGGUGUUUGGCACGUCUAUUGUGCGUCGGACGGAGCGACAAAGUUCCCUUGACUGGGCUCGUGCCCCGAAGCGGGUGUGAGGCCUUUAGUUGCUCGUGCGCCGGCGUAUCUCGGGCGUGUCUAGAGUCGGGUUGUUUGGGAGUACAGCCCAAAGUAGGUGGUAAACUCCAUCUAAGGCUAAAUACGUGCACGAGUCCGAUAGCGAACAAGUACCGUGAGGGAAAGUUGAAAAGUACUUUGAAGAGAGAGUUCAAGAGCACGUGAAACUGCCUAGAGGCAAGCGGAUAGGGCCACAUGAGCCAGCUGGUCGGAUUCAACUACGCCUGCUUGUGAUGAGUCGGUGCGCGGAUAUUGCCGGGUUCAUCCUCGGUGUACCGUGGUGCUGGCCUUCGCGGGUCGUUGUAGCGUACUUUCGGCUAGCGUAUGGUAGCCGCGAUCAAUUGGCUGAGGUGCCAAGCGCGUGAGGAGGUAGCCGCGGGUGCUCCUUGUGGGCGCUGUUAACGUCGGUGAUACUUGCGCGUUGGACCAACCUCGGUCGAUUGUGGAGCGACUGCAGUGUACGCAUCUCUCGAAGGUGCUUGCUGCUCUGUCGGGUUUGGUCACGCGGUGCUGGACUGCUGUGCAGUGCUGUGUUGCGUGGCUGGACUGCGGGCGGGGUGUGUUAGCGAAAGCGAGGUGCACUGCUGGUCAGCGGCUUGCUGGUCGCCUAUCCGUCCCGUCUUGAAACACGGACCAAGGAGUUGAACAUGUAGGCGAGUCAUUUGGUUGUAGAAACCAAAAGGCGCAGUGAAAGCGAAAUUAGCCAAGAUCCGCUGGCUCACGCUGGCGGCGCAUUGGCGACUCGUCACAUUGCCGCGUGCAGGUGGCGAAGUUCGAGCCUACACGUUCAGACCCGAAAGAUGGUGAACUAUGCUCGAGCAGGACGAAGCCAGAGGAAACUCUGGUGGAGGUCCGCAGCGAUUCUGACGUGCAAAUCGAUCGUCUGACUUGAGUAUAGGGGCGAAAGACUAAUCGAACCAUCUAGUAGCUGGUUCCCUCCGAAGUUUCCCUCAGGAUAGCUGGUACUCGAGGGCAGUUGUACUUCGAUAAAGCGAAUGAUUAGAGUGUUCUGGGUCGAAACGACCUAAACCUAUUCUCAAACUUUAAAUGGGUACGAAAUCGGGCUCGCUUAGUUGGAGCCCGAGUGAGAAUGUGUGGAGUGCCAAGUGGGCCACUUUUGGUAAGCAGAACUGGCGCUGUGGGAUGAACCAAACGUCUGGUUAAGGUGCCGGACACGGACGCUCAUGAGAAACCAUAAAAGGUGUUGGUUGAUAUAGACAGCAGGACGGUGGCCAUGAAGUCGGAAUCUUUAUGGAGGGUUCAUUCCGCGUGCUUGG